RNAcentral lists this ribosomal RNA (497 nucleotides) under uncultured bacterium. RNAcentral describes it as "partial 16S ribosomal RNA". It matches the Rfam family "Bacterial small subunit ribosomal RNA", at positions 28 to 507 of the family's 1533-position model. The record is from RNAcentral.
GAUGAACGCUGGCGGCGUGCCUAAUACAUGCAAGUCGAGCGAACGGACGAGAAGCUUGCUUUUCUGAUGUUAGCGGCGGACGGGUGAGUAGCACGUGGAUAACCUACCUAUAAGACUGGGAUAACUUCGGGAAACCGGAGCUAAUACCGGAUAAUAUUUUGAACCGCAUGGUUCAAAAGUGAAAGACGGUCUUGCUGUCACUUAUAGAUGGAUCCGCGCUGCAUUAGCUAGUUGGUAAGGUAACGGCUUACCAAGGCAACGAUGCAUAGCCGACCUGAGAGGGUGAUCGGCCACACGGGAACUGAGACACGGUCCAGACGCCUACGGGAGGCAGCAGUAGGGAAUCUUCCGCAAUGGGCGAAAGCAUGACGGAGCAACGCCGCGUGAGUGAUGAAGGUCUUCGGAUCGUAAAACUCUGUUAUUAGGGAAGAACAUAUGUGUAAGUAACUGUGCACAUCUUGACGGUACCUAAUCAGAAAGCCACGGCUAACUACGUG